RNAcentral lists this ribosomal RNA (433 nucleotides) under uncultured bacterium. RNAcentral's name for it is "partial 16S ribosomal RNA". It matches the Rfam family "Bacterial small subunit ribosomal RNA", at positions 29 to 507 of the family's 1533-position model. The record is from RNAcentral.
AACGAACGCUGGCGGCAGGCCUAACACAUGCAAGUCGAGCGCGCCCUCCGGGGUUAGCGGCGGUCGGGUGAGUACCGCGUGGGAACGUGCCCUUUUCUACGCUAUAGCUGCGGUAAACUGAGAUUAAUACCGCAUAGGCUCUUAGGGGGUAAGAUUUCUCGGGAAAGGAUCGGCCCGCGUUAGUUUCGGCAGUUGGUGGGGUAAUGGCCUGCCAAGCCGACGAUGCAUAGCUGGUUUGAGAGGAUGAUCAUCCACACUGGGACUGAGGCACGGACCAGACUCCUACGGGAGGCAGCAGUGGGGAAUCUUAGACAAUGGGGGCAACCCUGAUCUAGCCAUGCCGGGUGAGUGAUGAAGGCCUUAGGAUUGUAAAGCUCUUUCAGCUGGGGAGAUAAUGACGGUACCAGCAGAAGAAGCCCCGGCUAACUACGUG